Molecule: small nucleolar RNA, 120 nt
Organism: Pyrus x bretschneideri (Chinese white pear)
Lineage: Eukaryota; Viridiplantae; Streptophyta; Magnoliopsida; Rosales; Rosaceae
Product: small nucleolar RNA Z107/R87
Exons: 1
Source: RefSeq, a predicted model, not a curated record
AUUCGUUGUGAUGACCCAAUGAAAUUCAAGCUCAACAGACCGUAUUGUAGACUUCUCUUUUUAGAGAAUGUUAGGGUUUUAAUCCUAAGUCAAUUUAAUUUAUAAAAAUUGGAAAUGAGU